UACGGAGGGGGCUAGCGUUGUUCGGAAUUACUGGGCGUAAAGCGCGCGUAGGCGGACCUGCAAGUCGGGGGUGAAAGCCCGAGGCUCAACCUCGGAACUGCCUUCGAUACUGCGGGUCUCGAGUCCGGGAGAGGUGAGUGGAAUUCCUAGUGUAGAGGUGAAAUUCGUAGAUAUUAGGAAGAACACCAGUGGCGAAGGCGGCUCACUGGCCCGGUACUGACGCUGGGGCGCGAAAGCGUGGGGAGCAAACAGG
RNAcentral lists this ribosomal RNA (253 nucleotides) under uncultured bacterium. RNAcentral's name for it is "partial 16S ribosomal RNA". It matches the Rfam family "Bacterial small subunit ribosomal RNA", at positions 524 to 776 of the family's 1533-position model. The record is from RNAcentral.